RNAcentral lists this ribosomal RNA (433 nucleotides) under uncultured bacterium. RNAcentral describes it as "partial 16S ribosomal RNA". It matches the Rfam family "Bacterial small subunit ribosomal RNA", at positions 29 to 507 of the family's 1533-position model. The record is from RNAcentral.
AACGAACGCUGGCGGCAUGCCUAACACAUGCAAGUCGAACGAGACCUUCGGGUCUAGUGGCGCACGGGUGCGUAACGCGUGGGAACCUGCCCUUAGGUUCGGAAUAACUCUCCGAAGGGGGUGCUAAUACCGGAUAAUUUCUGCGGACCAAAGAUUUAUCGCCUUUGGAUGGGCCCGCGUUGGCUUAGCUAGUUGGUAGGGUAAAAGCCUACCAAGGCGACGAUCCAUAGCGGGUCUGAGAGGAUGAUCCGCCACACUGGGACUGAGACGCGGCCCAGAAUCCUACGGGAAGCAGCAAUGGGGAAUAUUGGAAAAUGGGCGAAAGCCUGAUCCAGCUAUGCCGCGUGAGUGCUGAAGGCCUUAGGGUUGUAAAGCUCUUUUACCCGGGAUGAUAAUGACAGUACCGGGAGAAUAAGCUCCGGCUAACUCCGUG